This 1271-nucleotide long non-coding RNA is filed under the name Capsicum annuum. Its description in RNAcentral is "long non-coding RNA (CANN_LNC002148)". The record is from RNAcentral. Lineage: Eukaryota; Viridiplantae; Streptophyta; Magnoliopsida; Solanales; Solanaceae.
AGGAUUGAAUUCCUUUCAGUCAGAAUUGAAGUAUAGCCUUAAGCAAUAAAUGAAGUUAAGUAAUUUCUUACCGAUUUUCACUCUCUUGCUGCGCUCCUCAGUUUUCAGUCGGAGAUGCGUAAUCUGAGCUAAAUGCCUAUGUUUGCUGAGAUUCCUCGCCCUUCACUUUUAAGGCUAUGCCAUCCUAAGGUGCUGCUAAAUGGAUGGAUCUUAUCAACGUCCAUGAAUGAUAAAUCAUAGAUCGAACCGCCGAAUCGGAAAAAUUGGGUGCUAUCAUAAAGCUUUGUAUCGGCUAAGUUCACGAGUUGGAGAUAAGCGGACUCGAACCGCUGACAUCCGCCGCAGGGUAAACCACCGCCUCUCAGGUCCCCCGACUGAUUCUACCAUAGAGGCCAACGAUAGACAAUAACCCCCCCCCGAACACAGCUUACAACUUUCAUCGUACUGUGCUCUCCAAAGAGCAACUCUUCUCAAAAUCUCACUCAAAAGGUGCUGAGUUGGAAUCCCAUUCUAACUAAGGAUUCUUGUGGUUCCGGAGGAUCCAACUACAGGAGAACCAGGAACGGAGGGCUUUCCCCCCUUUCCGCCCGACUCUUUGGUCUUAAGAACGCUGGUUUUAAGAAUGAGUCAUUGCCCUUCUCCGACCCUGACUGCCCAACCUGAGAGCGGACAGCUAAUGCGUUCCACUUAUUGAACAGGGUUCUAUGGUCGGUCCGUGACCCCUGGAUGCCGAAGGCGUCCUUGGGGUGAUCUCGUAGUUCCUACGGGGUGGAGAUGAUGGGGUCGGUCCAUGGUUGAUAAAUUUUGUAAAUAAAAACUACCUUUUGUAAAUAAAAAAUAAUAGUGAUAGAUUUUGUAAUAUAGGCGCUAAAUUUGUAUAUUUAUGUGAUUUAUCCUAAUAUUCUAUGUGGCAAAUUUCAUAUAAUUCGACUUAUAAAACGAGUGUAUAUCUACUAAUUUAAUUUUAUAAUAGUUUAAGUAGACUUUUGGCCAUGUUACAUUUGUCAAAUAGAAAUAAGUAGUUUUUUCUUCUCAAAGUUUUAUUGAAUUUCAUCAUUUCCUUUAGAAUGAAGUUAAGGAUUGAAUUCCUUUCAGUCAGAAUUGAAGUAUAGCCUUAAGCAAUAAAUGAAGUCAAGUAAUUUCUUACCGAUUUUCACUCUCUUGCUGCGCUCCUCAGUUUUCAGUCGGAGAUGCGUAAUCUGAGCUAAAUGCCUAUGUUUGCUGAGAUUCCUCGCCCUUCACUUUUAAGGCUAUGCCAUCCUAAGGUGCUG